UACGUAGGUGGCAAGCGUUGUUCGGAAUUAUUGGGCGUAAAGAGCUCGUAGGCGGUUUGUCGCGUCUGCCGUGAAAGUCCGGGGCUCAACUCCGGAUCUGCGGUGGGUACGGGCAGACUAGAGUGAUGUAGGGGAGACUGGAAUUCCUGGUGUAGCGGUGAAACGCGCAGAUAUCAGGAGGAACACCGAUGGCGAAGACAGGUCUCUGGGCAUUAACUGACGCUGAGGAGCGAAAGCAUGGGGAGCGAACAGG
RNAcentral lists this ribosomal RNA (253 nucleotides) under uncultured bacterium. Its description in RNAcentral is "partial 16S ribosomal RNA". It matches the Rfam family "Bacterial small subunit ribosomal RNA", at positions 524 to 776 of the family's 1533-position model. The record is from RNAcentral.